Molecule: ribosomal RNA, 446 nt
Filed under: uncultured bacterium
Lineage: Bacteria
Description: partial 16S ribosomal RNA
Rfam family: Bacterial small subunit ribosomal RNA
Source: RNAcentral
CCUACGGGUGGCAGCAGUCGAGAAUCAUUCACAAUGGGGGAAACCCUGAUGGUGCGACGCCGCGUGAGGGAAUGAAGGUCUUCGGGUUGUAAACCCCUGUCAUGUGGGAGCAAAUUAAAAAGAUAGUACCACAAGAGGAAGAGACGGCUAACUCUGUGCCAGCAGCCGCGGUACUACAGAGGUCUCAAGCGUUGUUCGGAAUCACUGGGCGUAAAGCGUGCGUAGGAUGGUUCGUAAGUCGUGUGUGAAAGGCGCGGGCUCAACCCGCGGACGGCACAUGAUACUGGGAGCCUAGAGUAAUGGAGGGGGAACCGGAAUUCUCGGUGUAGCAGUGAAAUGCGUAGAUAUCGAGAGGAACACUCGUGGCGAAGGCGGGUUCCUGGACAGUAACUGACGCUGAGGCACGAAGGCCAGGGGAGCGAAAGGGAUUAGAUACCCUUGUAGUC